AUUGAACGCUGGCGGCAUGCCUUACACAUGCAAGUCGAACGGCAGCACGGGAGCAAUCCUGGUGGCGAGUGGCGAACGGGUGAGUAAUAUAUCGGAACGUGCCCAGUCGUGGGGAUAACGUAGCGAAAGCUACGCUAAUACCGCAUACGAUCUAUGGAUGAAAGCGGGGGAUCGCAAGACCUCGCGCGAUUGGAGCGGCCGAUAUCAGAUUAGGUAGUUGGUGAGGUAAAGGCUCAACCAAGCCGACGAUCUGUAGCUGGUCUGAGAGACGACCAGCCACACUGGGACUGAGACACGGCCCAGACUCCUACGGGAGGCAGCAGUGGGGAAUUUUGGACAAUGGGCGCAAGCCUGAUCCAGCAAUGCCGCGUGCAGGAUGAAGGCC
This 385-nucleotide ribosomal RNA is filed under the name uncultured bacterium. RNAcentral describes it as "bacterial SSU rRNA". It matches the Rfam family "Bacterial small subunit ribosomal RNA", at positions 30 to 416 of the family's 1533-position model. The record is from RNAcentral.